UACGUAGGGGGCAAGCGUUAUCCGGAUUUACUGGGUGUAAAGGGAGCGCAGGCGGCGUGGCAAGUCAGAUGUGAAAACCCGGGGCCCAACCCCGGGAGUGCAUUUGAAACUGCCAUGCUGGAGUGCCGGAGAGGUAAGCGGAAUUCCUAGUGUAGCGGUGAAAUGCGUAGAUAUUAGGAGGAACACCAGUGGCGGAGGCGGCUUACUGGACGGUAACUGACGCUGAGGCUCGAAAGCGUGGGGAGCAAACAGG
RNAcentral lists this ribosomal RNA (253 nucleotides) under uncultured bacterium. RNAcentral describes it as "partial 16S ribosomal RNA". It matches the Rfam family "Bacterial small subunit ribosomal RNA", at positions 524 to 776 of the family's 1533-position model. The record is from RNAcentral.